Molecule: ribosomal RNA, 305 nt
Filed under: uncultured bacterium
Lineage: Bacteria
Description: bacterial SSU rRNA
Rfam family: Bacterial small subunit ribosomal RNA
Source: RNAcentral
CAUAGCCUACGGGAGGCAGCAGUAGGGAAUCUUCCACAAUGGGCGAAAGCCUGAUGGAGCAACGCCGCGUGGGUGAAGAAGGUCUUCGGAUCGUAAAACCCUGUUGUUAGAGAAGAAAGUGCGUGAGAGUAACUGUUCACGUUUCGACGGUAUCUAACCAGAAAGCCACGGCUAACUACGUGCCAGCAGCCGCGGUAAUACGUAGGUGGCAGGCGUUAUCCGGAUUUAUUGGGCGUAAAGGGAACGCAGGCGGUCUUUUAAGUCUGAUGUGAAAGCCUUCGGCUUAACCGGAUGAGUGCAUUGGG